CUUGUCACCCAUUAGUUGCCUGUA
This 24-nucleotide non-coding RNA is filed under the name Rattus norvegicus (Norway rat). The record is from RNAcentral. Lineage: Eukaryota; Metazoa; Chordata; Mammalia; Rodentia; Muridae.